CCUACGGGAGGCAGCAGUGGGGGAUAUUGCACAAUGGGGGGAACCCUGAUGCAGCGACGCCGCGUGGGUGAAGGAGGAUUUCGGUUUGUAAAGCCCUAUCGGCAGGGAAGAAUUUAGACGGUACCUGACUAAGAAGCCCCGGCUAACGACUUGCCAGCAGCCGCGGUAAUACGUAGGGGGCAAGCGUUAUCCGGAUUCACUGGGUGUAAAGGGAGCGUAGACGGCCAGGCAAGCCUGGAGUGAAAGCCUGGGGCCUAACCCCGGGACUGCUCUGGGAACUGUACGGCUGGAGUGCGGAAGGGGCAGGCGGAAUUCCUGGUGUAGCGGUGAAAUGCGUAGAGAUCGGGAGGAACACCAGGGGCGAAGGCGGCCUGCUGGACCGCGACUGACGUUGAGGCACGAAAGCGUGGGGAGCGAACAGGAUUAGAUACCCCGGUAGUC
RNAcentral lists this ribosomal RNA (441 nucleotides) under uncultured bacterium. RNAcentral describes it as "partial 16S ribosomal RNA". It matches the Rfam family "Bacterial small subunit ribosomal RNA", at positions 338 to 795 of the family's 1533-position model. The record is from RNAcentral.